This 45-nucleotide non-coding RNA is filed under the name Schistosoma bovis. The record is from RNAcentral. RNAcentral also lists the same sequence under 1 other name. Lineage: Eukaryota; Metazoa; Platyhelminthes; Trematoda; Strigeidida; Schistosomatidae.
AUCCAGAUGACGAGUCCCGAAUAGGACGAAUCACGCGUCGUGGAU